Molecule: transfer RNA, 74 nt
Filed under: Labilithrix sp.
Lineage: Bacteria; Pseudomonadati; Myxococcota; Polyangiales; Labilitrichaceae
Description: tRNA-Lys
Rfam family: tRNA
About the family: Transfer RNA (tRNA) molecules are approximately 80 nucleotides in length. Their secondary structure includes four short double-helical elements and three loops (D, anti-codon, and T loops). Further hydrogen bonds mediate the characteristic L-shaped molecular structure. tRNAs have two regions of fundamental functional importance: the anti-codon, which is responsible for specific mRNA codon recognition, and the 3' end, to which the tRNAs corresponding amino acid is attached (by aminoacyl-tRNA synthetases). tRNAs cope with the degeneracy of the genetic code in two manners: having more than one tRNA (with a specific anti-codon) for a particular amino acid; and 'wobble' base-pairing, i.e. permitting non-standard base-pairing at the 3rd anti-codon position.
Source: RNAcentral
GGGUCCGUAGCGCAACCGGCAAGCGCACUCGACUCUUAAUCGAGGUGGUGAGGGUUCGAGUCCCUCCGGACCUA